Molecule: small nucleolar RNA, 74 nt
Organism: Melanotaenia boesemani (Boeseman's rainbowfish)
Lineage: Eukaryota; Metazoa; Chordata; Actinopteri; Atheriniformes; Melanotaeniidae
Product: small nucleolar RNA SNORD99
Exons: 1
Source: RefSeq, a predicted model, not a curated record
UGUGAUCAGUGAUGACAUUUUAUUACAAUGAGGACUGUUGGAUGACUCUAGCGGAUAUGGGACUGAGAUCAGGC